Choloepus didactylus (southern two-toed sloth) is the source of this 411-nucleotide non-coding RNA. Lineage: Eukaryota; Metazoa; Chordata; Mammalia; Pilosa; Megalonychidae. The record is from the annotation of a RefSeq genome assembly.
AUGAGAGCCCACAUUGGAGCACAAGGCUGUUCACAGUGCAGAGCAGCUGCCAGCAUGACACCUGUCAGCUUGCUGUGGGCAGUCAUGGUCUCCACCUGCCUUGGACCAAGCCUGGCCCAGACCGUCACUCAGUCUCAACCUGAAAUGUCUGUACAGGAGGCAGAGACAGUGACCCUGAAGUGCACAUAUGACACGAGUGAGAGUCAGUAUUAUUUGUUCUGGUACAAGCAACUUCCCAGCGGGAGGAUGAUUUUCAUUAUUCUCCAGGAUGCUUAUAAGCAACAGAAUGCAACUGAGAAUCGCUUUUCUGUGAACUUCCAGAAAGCAGCCAAAUCCUUUAGUCUCAAGAUCUCAGACUCACAGCUGGAGGAUGCUGCAGUGUAUUUCUGUGCUUUCAGGGGUGCACACUGA